Non-coding RNA from Anolis sagrei ordinatus, 279 nucleotides. Lineage: Eukaryota; Metazoa; Chordata; Lepidosauria; Squamata; Anolidae. The record is from RefSeq and is a predicted model, not a curated record.
UAAAGAAGGAUGAGGAGAAGCAAAAGAACAAGAUGGAGGAUAAGAAAAAGGAGAACGAGAAGAAGAGGAGGAGGAGGAGGAGAAAGAAGAAGAAAGGAAAAAGAAGGAGGAGAAAGAGAAGGAGAAAAAGCAGAAGGAGAAGAAGGAGAAGAAGAAGAAGAAGAGGAGGAGGAGGAGGAGGAGAAAGAAGAAGAAAGGAAAAAGAAGGAGGAGAAAGAGAAGGAGAAAAAGCAGAAGGAGAAGAAGGAGAAGAAGAAGAAGAGGAGGAGGAGGAGGAGG